This 2926-nucleotide ribosomal RNA is filed under the name Klebsiella pneumoniae. Its description in RNAcentral is "23S ribosomal RNA". It matches the Rfam family "Bacterial large subunit ribosomal RNA". Lineage: Bacteria; Pseudomonadati; Pseudomonadota; Gammaproteobacteria; Enterobacterales; Enterobacteriaceae. The record is from RNAcentral.
GGGUUGUGAGGUUAAGCGACUAAGCGUACACGGUGGAUGCCCUGGCAGUCAGAGGCGAUGAAGGACGUGCUAAUCUGCGAAAAGCGUCGGUAAGGUGAUAUGAACCGUUAUAGCCGGCGAUGUCCGAAUGGGGAAACCCAGUGCAAUUCGUUGCACUAUCGUUAACUGAAUACAUAGGUUAACGAGGCGAACCGGGGGAACUGAAACAUCUAAGUACCCCGAGGAAAAGAAAUCAACCGAGAUUCCCCCAGUAGCGGCGAGCGAACGGGGAGCAGCCCAGAGUCUGAAUCAGCUUGUGUGUUAGUGGAACGGUCUGGAAAGUCCGACGGUACAGGGUGAUAGUCCCGUACACCAAAAUGCACAGGCUGUGAACUCGAAGAGUAGGGCGGGACACGUGGUAUCCUGUCUGAAUAUGGGGGGACCAUCCUCCAAGGCUAAAUACUCCUGACUGACCGAUAGUGAACCAGUACCGUGAGGGAAAGGCGAAAAAGAACCCCGGCGAGGGGAGUGAAAAAAGAACCUGAAACCGUGUACGUACAAGCAGUGGGAGCACCUUCGGGUGUGACUGCGUACCUUUUGUAUAAUGGGUCAGCGACUUAUAUUCUGUAGCAAGGUUAACCGUAUAGGGGAGCCGCAGGGAAACCGAGUCUUAACUGGGCGUUAAGUUGCAGGGUAUAGACCCGAAACCCGGUGAUUUAGCCAUGGGCAGGUUGAAGGUUGGGUAACACUAACUGGAGGACCGAACCGACUAAUGUUGAAAAAAUUAGCGGAUGACUUGUGGCUGGGGGUGAAAGGCCAAUCAAACCGGGAGAUAGCUGGUUCUCCCCGAAAGCUAUUUAGGUAGCGCCUCGUGAAUUCAUCUUCGGGGGUAGAGCACUGUUUCGGCUAGGGGGUCAUCCCGACUUACCAACCCGAUGCAAACUACGAAUACCGAAGAAUGUUAUCACGGGAGACACACGGCGGGUGCUAACGUCCGUCGUGAAGAGGGAAACAACCCAGACCGCCAGCUAAGGUCCCAAAGUCAUGGUUAAGUGGGAAACGAUGUGGGAAGGCACAGACAGCCAGGAUGUUGGCUUAGAAGCAGCCAUCAUUUAAAGAAAGCGUAAUAGCUCACUGGUCGAGUCGGCCUGCGCGGAAGAUGUAACGGGGCUAAACCAUGCACCGAAGCUGCGGCAGCGACACUAUGUGUUGUUGGGUAGGGGAGCGUUCUGUAAGCCUGCGAAGGUGUGCUGUGAGGCAUGCUGGAGGUAUCAGAAGUGCGAAUGCUGACAUAAGUAACGAUAAAGCGGGUGAAAAGCCCGCUCGCCGGAAGACCAAGGGUUCCUGUCCAACGUUAAUCGGGGCAGGGUGAGUCGACCCCUAAGGCGAGGCCGAAAGGCGUAGUCGAUGGGAAACAGGUUAAUAUUCCUGUACUUGGUGUUACUGCGAAGGGGGGACGGAGAAGGCUAUGUUAGCCGGGCGACGGUUGUCCCGGUUUAAGCAUGUAGGCUGAUUAUCCAGGCAAAUCCGGAUAAUCAAGGCUGAGGUGUGAUGACGAGGCACUACGGUGCUGAAGUAACAAAUGCCCUGCUUCCAGGAAAAGCCUCUAAGCAUCAGGUAACAUUAAAUCGUACCCCAAACCGACACAGGUGGUCAGGUAGAGAAUACCAAGGCGCUUGAGAGAACUCGGGUGAAGGAACUAGGCAAAAUGGUGCCGUAACUUCGGGAGAAGGCACGCUGGUGUGUAGGUGAAGCCCCUGCGGGUGGAGCUGAGACCAGUCGAAGAUACCAGCUGGCUGCAACUGUUUAUUAAAAACACAGCACUGUGCAAACACGAAAGUGGACGUAUACGGUGUGACGCCUGCCCGGUGCCGGAAGGUUAAUUGAUGGGGUUAUCCGUAAGGAGAAGCUCUUGAUCGAAGCCCCGGUAAACGGCGGCCGUAACUAUAACGGUCCUAAGGUAGCGAAAUUCCUUGUCGGGUAAGUUCCGACCUGCACGAAUGGCGUAAUGAUGGCCAGGCUGUCUCCACCCGAGACUCAGUGAAAUUGAACUCGCUGUGAAGAUGCAGUGUACCCGCGGCAAGACGGAAAGACCCCGUGAACCUUUACUAUAGCUUGACACUGAACAUUGAGCCUUGAUGUGUAGGAUAGGUGGGAGGCUUUGAAGCGUGGACGCCAGUCUGCGUGGAGCCAACCUUGAAAUACCACCCUUUAAUGUUUGAUGUUCUAACGUUGGCCCCUGACCGGGGUUGCGGACAGUGUCUGGUGGGUAGUUUGACUGGGGCGGUCUCCUCCCAAAGCGUAACGGAGGAGCACGAAGGUUAGCUAAUCCUGGUCGGACAUCAGGAGGUUAGUGCAAUGGCAUAAGCUAGCUUGACUGCGAGCGUGACGGCGCGAGCAGGUGCGAAAGCAGGUCAUAGUGAUCCGGUGGUUCUGAAUGGAAGGGCCAUCGCUCAACGGAUAAAAGGUACUCCGGGGAUAACAGGCUGAUACCGCCCAAGAGUUCAUAUCGACGGCGGUGUUUGGCACCUCGAUGUCGGCUCAUCACAUCCUGGGGCUGAAGUAGGUCCCAAGGGUAUGGCUGUUCGCCAUUUAAAGUGGUACGCGAGCUGGGUUUAGAACGUCGUGAGACAGUUCGGUCCCUAUCUGCCGUGGGCGCUGGAGAAUUGAGGGGGGCUGCUCCUAGUACGAGAGGACCGGAGUGGACGCAUCACUGGUGUUCGGGUUGUCAUGCCAAUGGCACUGCCCGGUAGCUAAAUGCGGAAGAGAUAAGUGCUGAAAGCAUCUAAGCACGAAACUUGCCCCGAGAUGAGUUCUCCCUGAGACUUUAAGUCUCCUGAAGGAACGUUAAAGACGAUGACGUUGAUAGGCCGGGUGUGUAAGCGCAGCGAUGCGUUGAGCUAACCGGUACUAAUGAACCGUGAGGCUUAACCUUACAACGCCGAAG